AAAAAAAAAAAAAAAAAAAAAAAAAAAAAAAAAAAAAAAAAAA
This 43-nucleotide non-coding RNA is filed under the name Alexandrium minutum. Lineage: Eukaryota; Dinophyceae; Gonyaulacales; Pyrocystaceae. The record is from RNAcentral.